GGAGUUAGCCGGUGCUUCUUCUGUGAGUGAUGUCCUUCCUGCCGGUUAUUGACCCGCAGGCCUUCUUCCUCACUGAAAGUGCUUUACAACCCGAAGGCCUUCUUCACACACGCGGCAUGGCUGGAUCAGGGUUGCCCCCAUUGUCCAAUAUUCCCCACUGCUGCCUCCCGUAGGAGUCUGGGCCGUGUCUCAGUCCCAGUGUGGCUGAUCAUCCUCUCAGACCAGCUACGGAUCGUCGCCUUGGUGAGCCGUUACCUCACCAACCAGCUAAUCCGACAUAGGCUCAUCCGAUAGCGCGAGGCCCGAAGGUCCCCCGCUUUCCCCCGUAGGGCGUAUGCGGUAUUAGCCUGGGUUUCCCCAGGUUAUCCCCCACUACCGGGCAGAUUCCUAUGCAUUACUCACCCGUCCGCCGCUCGCCACCAGGGAGCAAGCUCCCCGUGCUGCCGCUCGACUUGCAUGUGUUAGGCCUGCCGACCAGCGUUCAAUCCUGAGCCAGGAUCAAACUCUGA
RNAcentral lists this ribosomal RNA (509 nucleotides) under uncultured bacterium. Its description in RNAcentral is "partial 16S ribosomal RNA". The record is from RNAcentral.